UAGGGAAUCUUCCGCAAUGGGCGAAAGCUUGACGGAGCAACGCCGCGUGAGUGAUGAAGGUCUUCGGAUCGUAAAACUCUGUUAUUAGGGAAGAACAAAUGAGUAAGUAACUAUGCACGUCUUGACGGUACCUAAUCAGAAAGCCACGGCUAACUACGUGCCAGCAGCCGCGGUAAUACGUAGGUGGCAAGCGUUAUCCGGAAUUAUUGGGCGUAAAGCGCGCGUAGGCGGUUUUUUAAGUCUGAUGUGAAAGCCCACGGCUCAACCGUGGGGGGUCAUUGGAAACUGGAAAACUUGAGUGCAGAAGAGGAAAGUGGAAUUCCAUGUGUAGCGGUGAAAUGCGCAGAGAUAUGGAGGAACACCAGUGGCGAAGGCGACUUUCUGGUCUGUAACUGACGCUGAUGUGCGAAAGCGUGGGGAUCAAACAGG
RNAcentral lists this ribosomal RNA (429 nucleotides) under Actinomycetes bacterium. RNAcentral's name for it is "Actinobacteria bacterium partial 16S ribosomal RNA". It matches the Rfam family "Bacterial small subunit ribosomal RNA", at positions 355 to 776 of the family's 1533-position model. The record is from RNAcentral. Lineage: Bacteria; Bacillati; Actinomycetota; Actinomycetes.